GGCAUAAGUAACGAUAAUGCGGGUGAGAAACCCGCACACCGAUAGACUAAGGUUUCCCCGGCAAUGCUAAUCAGCCGGGGGUCAGUCAGGACCUAAGGCGAACCCGAAGGGGGUAGUCGAUGGACAAUGGUUUAAUAUUACCAUACUACCAUUAACAGUGAUGGGGUGACGGAGCAGUGAAAGUCCUGCGUACUGACGGAAUA
Molecule: ribosomal RNA, 203 nt
Filed under: Zooxanthella nutricula
Lineage: Eukaryota; Dinophyceae; Peridiniales
Description: Brandtodinium nutricula partial Bacterial large subunit ribosomal RNA
Rfam family: Bacterial large subunit ribosomal RNA
Source: RNAcentral